Molecule: small nuclear RNA, 106 nt
Organism: Erinaceus europaeus (western European hedgehog)
Lineage: Eukaryota; Metazoa; Chordata; Mammalia; Eulipotyphla; Erinaceidae
Source: RefSeq, a predicted model, not a curated record
GUGCUUGCUUCAUCAGCACAUAUAUAAAAUUGGAAUGAUACAGAGAAGAUUAGCAUGGCCCCUGAGUAAGGAUGACACGCAAAUUCGUGAAGUGUUCCAUAUUUUU